CCUGCUAAAUAGCCAGGCUGGCAUUAGCUGGUCGCCGGCUGCUUAGAGGGACUGUCGGUGUCUAACUGACGGAAGUUUGAGGCAAUAACAGGUCUGUGAUGCCCUUAGAUGUUCUGGGCCGCGCGCGCGCUGCACUGACAGAGCCAGCGAGUUUAUUUACCGUGGCCGGGGGGUCUGGGUAAUCUUGUGAAACUCU
Molecule: ribosomal RNA, 196 nt
Filed under: Entolomataceae sp.
Lineage: Eukaryota; Fungi; Basidiomycota; Agaricomycetes; Agaricales; Entolomataceae
Description: partial small subunit ribosomal RNA
Rfam family: Eukaryotic small subunit ribosomal RNA
Source: RNAcentral